GACUUCUCUCAGGAGGAGUGGGAAUUCCUGGACCCUGCUCAGAGGGACUUGUACAAAGGUAUAAUGUUGGAGAACUAAAGCAACCUGGUUUCACUGGGAACCAGAAGGCCUAAACCAUCUGUAAUCUCCUUACUUGAGAAUGGGAAGGAGCCAUGGCUGGAAGAGAGAAUGGUGACAGGAGCCACAAGCUUAGGGUUCUAUAAAAACAUUCUAGGGCAAAGAAUACGGAUGGUCAAUUAAAAUAACUAAGACAAGAAGUCGUUCUUGGUUUCUUCAUUCUCAAUUUUACUUCAUUCUCAAUUCAAAGAAGAACUACUGCCUUCAAAUAAGAAACAAGUGAAAAAACAGAGCUUAUAAAUACAGAGUACAGUUUGGUGGUUGCCAGGGGCAGGGUGUGGGGUUUGGGCAAAAUGGGUGAAGGGGAUC
Molecule: long non-coding RNA, 426 nt
Filed under: Phocoena sinus (vaquita)
Lineage: Eukaryota; Metazoa; Chordata; Mammalia; Artiodactyla; Phocoenidae
Description: lncRNA (ENSPSNG00000020970.1)
Source: RNAcentral